AGUGAACGCUGGCGGUAGGCCUAACACAUGCAAGUCGAACGGCAGCACAGUAAGAGCUUGCUCUUACGGGUGGCGAGUGGCGGACGGGUGAGGAAUACAUCGGAAUCUACUUUUUCGUGGGGGAUAACGUAGGGAAACUUACGCUAAUACCGCAUACUACCUACGGGUGAAAGCAGGGGAUCUUCGGACCUUGCGCGAUUGAAUGAGCCGAUGUCGGAUUAGCUAGUUGGCGGGGUAAAGGCCCACCAAGGCGACGAUCCGUAGCUGGUCUGAGAGGAUGAUCAGCCACACUGGAACUGAGACACGGUCCAGACUCCUACGGGAGGCAGCAGUGGGGAAUAUUGGACAAUGGGGGCAAGCCUGAUCCAGCCAUACCGCGUGGGUGAAGAAGGCGUUCGGGUUGUAAAGCCCUUUUGUUGGGAAAGAAAAGCAGCAGGUUAAUACCCCGCUGUUCUGACGGUAACCAAAGAAUAAGCACCGGCUAACUUAGUGC
This 493-nucleotide ribosomal RNA is filed under the name uncultured bacterium. RNAcentral describes it as "partial 16S ribosomal RNA". It matches the Rfam family "Bacterial small subunit ribosomal RNA", at positions 29 to 508 of the family's 1533-position model. The record is from RNAcentral.